Long non-coding RNA from Ficedula albicollis (Collared flycatcher), 4389 nucleotides. Lineage: Eukaryota; Metazoa; Chordata; Aves; Passeriformes; Muscicapidae. The record is from Ensembl.
GGGGGGGGGGGGGGGGGGGGGGGGGGGGGGGGGGGGGGGGGGGGGGGGGGGGGGGGGGGGGGGGGGGGGGGGGGGGGGGGGGGGGGGGGGGGCCCGGGCUCUCAGCCCCGUGUUCCGAUCCGCAGGUGCCAUGGGCCGGCAGCGCGCACCGCCCGAGCGCUGCUGGAAGCGGCCCCUGCGCGCCGGGGGCUGCUGGCUGCUGUGGCUCUGCGGGACGGCGCUGCGGGCGCUGCGGGGGCUCUGGAGCCUGACGUGGGUCGGUACCACAGCAGGGCGGGGGCAGAGGCGCUGCUGGGGUGCAAACGCUGCACCGCUGCUGCUGCUGCUGGGGUUUGUUGCUGUCCUCGGCUCAAGGCGCUGGGUGGUUGUGCCCGCCCAGAGCCCUGGGGACGCGGGGACAGGUGUCACCGUCCCCUCCCGCAGGUUCUGCUGCUGUGCUACAAAAGCUGCUGGGAUGGCGCCUUCCAGGUCACCGAGGAGGUAAAGCCUCAGUGGGGCAGACCGGGGACACGGCCGGCUGGGGGGCACGGAGGGGCUCCCCACACGGGGUUGGUGCCAGGGACCGUCUGGGCUCAGCUGCCCAUGGACCUGCGAGUCCCCAGCGUCCGCGUUGGCUUCCAGCUGGGCACAGCCCUGCAGCUUCGGCUAGGGAGGAGUGAGGAGGAGGAGGAGGAGGAAGCAGACUCAGAUUCUGCAUGGCAGCCCGGACAGACAGGUGGGUACCCGGCCCAGGGGCGGCCCGGCGGCGGCAGGUGCCAUGGGGGGUGGCUGGAGCUGAGCUGUGCUGCCAGGGCAGCGGCGUGGCGAUGCCAGCGAGGCCAUGCUGGGGAGGCUGGAGGCUCUGGAGGCCGAUGUUCGCUUCCUCUGCACCGAGCUGGGGGCUGAGAAGCUCCUGUGGAGCAGCCGGUUCCUGGAGCUGCUGCGGGAGCAGCAAAGCCUGCGCCAAAGGGUGAGUGCCCGGGGGGGGCCAGCCCCAAAGCCCCCUGUGGCAGCCCCCACCCUCACAGCCUGCUCCAGCUGCAGGAGCUGCCGUGGCACUGGAACGGUGGGGACAGCCCCGAGCUGCUGGGGGAGGCAGAGGAGCAAAGUGCCAGUGGGAGUGAGGGAGAGAGCCCAGAAGGACGCCAGUGGAUGGAGGCACCUCGGCAACCAUGUGGCUCCAUCCAGCCUGGUGGCAGAAAAAGCAAGUGAAGGUGUGAACAAGGCCUCAGCAGUUCAGGAAGGAUCCACACAUUCCUCCUGCCCAGGCCCUUCAGGACCCAGGCCAGGCUGCUGCUGUCCCAGCUGUAUCACUCCACCCCAGCCCAAUGCAGCAGAACUGCAGCCAUUUCCCAGGAGCAGGAACCAGCUGGAGGCAGGUCAGGACAAGCCACUCUCCCUGGGCCUGCCCCAGGACACAUCACAGCCCUCCCUGCCCAGGGCUGCCCCCGGGUUUCUGUGCCCCACAGGGGCUGGCUCUGAUGAAGCCCACAGAGGAGCAUCCCCCUGCUCUGCUGCUUGUCGGGACGUUCCAGGAACAAGGAGUCUGGUCAGCACUGGCUUCAUCAUCUUGCACUGGGGUGACAGAUUGCAAAACUCACCCACCGACUUCCUGACUGGCCACAUCCAUCCUCUCAUGAGCUGCUCCUGCACAUGUCGCAACCCUGGGCAGCUCCUUGAGACAGUGGCCAAGGGCAAGCAGCUCCCCAGGCAUGGCUGACAGCCCCUGGCAGGCCAGAACAGCUGGGGCUGGGAGCAGCAGCCCCACAGGGAGCUGAUCUGAGGGGUUGCCCCAUGCCCAGCCCUGGCCCAGCCCAGGGGCUGCACCCACUGUCAAUACAGGCAGCUGCUCUCCAUCUCUUGUGUCUGCCUGGUCUUUCCCAGCAGAGCUGGGACAGCCACACCCGGGCUCUUUGGGGCGGGGGGACAAGAUGAGCUCUUGCUGCAGCAGAGCAGGGACCGGGCUCCAGCAGCAGGCAGGAUGGGCAGGGAUCUGUUCUCCAAACAUGCCCAUGCAGCUCCCACGUGCAGGGAACUGAUGCAAUGGGAAUAGCAGCAGCCUGAGUCACCCUGCACCCACCCGGCCCCGGUGUGGUGGCGGUGGGACAGCCCCGUGCUGCUCAGAAAGAGCAAAGGAAACCAGGUCCUGCAAAGGAGCUGCUCUCAGGGCAGGAGUCCUGCUGCAGUGAAACCCCAGCCCCAUGCUGCACCCCCCCUUCCCUGCAGCAGCCACGGCAGCGUCCCUGCUGAGACCGUGGGAGCACCAGACAAUGAUGUCACAAGGUCCUGCUCCUGCUGUAGCCACCAUCCACCUCUCCGUGGCAAUCCUUGGGCUGGAAAUCCCCAGCCAGCCCACAGGGAAGUGGAGGGUGACAUCAAGCAGCAUUAGCUGCAGCCACCAGCUCUGCACCCCCCACUGGAGCAGCCCCUGACCACAACACCUGCAGCAAGGCAAGAGUCACCACACAGGCCACAGAAACUUUUCUCCAGCCACCACCCCAGCCAAAGCUCCUGACCUAUUGCUUAACCUGAGGCUGUAUUUACUCCCACAUGCUUGUGCAACACUGCUCCCCAGUCCUGGCCAGGAGCCUCAGUGGUUUUGUCAGAAGGGCUGAGCAAGCUGCUGCUGCCUCAGACAAGGCUUUGGCUUCCAGGGGCACCCCCUGACCUUCAGGAGCACUGGGGAAUUCAGGGCCCUUAGCAAAGUGUGUGAGGGAACUGAAAAGCAUCUGGCUGGAGGGCAAGUGCUGACAGCAUCUGCACAGGUAGCACCACCAUCACAACCCCAUCCCAUCCCAGCCUCCCCCUACUGCCCUGGGGCAGCACCCAGCUCCUCCCCAGCACCCUUCCAUUCUCUUGUACGUAACAGUGACUGCUUCCUGCAGCCCUGGCUCACAGGGAGGCUGUGCUGCAGCAGCAAUUUGGGAUACAGGGUGCAGAGCUGCUGCCAUGCUCGGUACAUCCACUCCUCUUCAUGGGGAGAGCAGCAGCCCAGCAGCCUCAGCACUGGGGGAACACGGGGUUGAUGCUGAAUCUGCUCCUCUGUAUAGCACCUACAUCACCACAUCCCAUCCCCUAUCCCACAGGAACCUUUCCCAUUCCUGCCUCUGAAAAUGCUUUAAAAUGUUAGAACGGAGCUAGCCACAUCCUGGAAACCCUCAGUGGGAGGAACCAGCUGAGCUCAAAUGGAAGUUCAGGGAGCAAGGGCAGCAGGACCAGGGAGAGGCAAGCCAGCCCUGGAGAGCAGCCUGGGCUGCUUGGAGGAACCAGCCUCUCCUCAAGCUCUGCACGAGGCUGCAGUGGCAUGCAGCUGACAGGAUGAGGGCUGGGAAGCCCCUGAGCACAGGAAACCUCCAACAGGCCCAUGUGUGACCUCCUUCCCCCCAACAGCACAGUGAGCUGAGACACAGAUCUGACCCAGUUUGGCUCAGCCAGGAACACAAAGCAAACACCCAGCAGUCAUAGCAGGCUCUACCCCCAAGCCCCAGGAAGUUCUGAGUCAAGUGAUGCACCCCAAAAACCUCACCUUAACAGCCUCAGCAGGGUUGCCAAGGUGUGCAGGCAGGCAGCCCCACCACUCCUGGCACUGACGAGUGUGUAGGGCAGAAACAUGCAGCAGGGACAGUUCCAAUCAGCAUUUCCAUUUCCCAAAUCUCUGGUACCACACAGAACUUAGUGUGAAUGAAGGAGAAAAUUCAGAGCACAGCAGUGGGAUUGUGGCUGGGCUUGCUGGCUGCCCCAGCAGCACACAUGGCAGUUUGGGGGAGUAACUUUAACUAGAUCUGUGCUAGGGCCUGACCCUCCCACACCACUCCCUGAGCCCCCAGGACUGUCACUGCAAGAGAAACAUCACAACCAAAGUCAGUCUGCUCCAGCCCUUCCUCUCCUGGUGGUGGCAAUGAGCCUCUGCACUUCUGCACUGAUUCCUUUAAUUGUGUCCCACUGCAGCUUUGAGAGAUGCAAAAACAAACAUUUACCCCCUCUACGCAACCUGUAAAAUUAGUUACCUGUUGUCUUUUACAGCAACACCUGUAAAAUCCUGCAGCAUUUUUCAACUGCAGAUCCCAUUACAGACAGCAGCAAACUGCUCACGUGGUUAAAGGUGUGCUCAGAUCCCUGACACACCACUCCAUCCCCUCCCACCACACACACACACAGCCACAUGAGCUCUGUCACUGCAGUGACGUCCUCAGAGGCUUCCUCUCCCACAGUCAAUAAAGACUUCAGACUGUGAGAUUGCAGGUUUGUUUUGAAAUGCAGCUGGUCUCUGGGAGCACUUGCUUCCCUGGUUUCUGAUUAACUAGAGUCAUUGCCCUGUGGUAAAUGAAGAGCACAAGUUUCAAUACAGACCAUAAAAUUAUUUAACCAGCGAGAUAAGAACAUGCUGUGCUGCAGUGGAACAGAUGGGAG